GGGGCUGAUAUGGUUUCUACAUAUUGGUAUGUGAAUUAAGUUUAAGUUGAUUUAUUUUUUUGUUUUAUACUAAUUUAUUAGUAAUUACUUUCUUAUUUAAAUGCAAAAAACAAUAUAUUAGUUUUUUCUAAAAGUUUAGCUUUAGUAUAAGUUUUUAGAAUAUUGAAUUAUAUCUUUUCUAGUUAAUUCGAUAGAUAUGGUAGAGAUGCUCUUAAGGCUAAUUUUAUAUAUUAAUAUAGCAAAUGUAGUCAAUUAGUAAAGUCAUUUUAAUUUUUGGUGUUCUAGUAAAUCAACUUAUUGAUCACAAACUUAUGUAAUAUUUCAAUAUGGACGUGGGUUCGAGUCCCACCAGUUCCA
Molecule: non-coding RNA, 357 nt
Filed under: Alsidium seaforthii
Lineage: Eukaryota; Rhodophyta; Florideophyceae; Ceramiales; Rhodomelaceae
Source: RNAcentral